AUGGACUACUCCGAAGAGUACACGUUCGUGUGGAAGCUGCGCAAGUACCUCCUCCUGCUGGCGACGCUGGUCGUCAGCGCCACAUACGUCGCCGGGCUCAACCCUCCGGGCGGACUGUUCGUCGACGACGAGGCACCCCACCGCGUGGGGGACCCGGUGCUCGCGAGCACCAAUUCCACCCGGUAUAAUGUCUUCUUCUACUGCAACGCCGCGGCCUUCCUGGCGUCGCUUGUCAUUGUAAUGGUCCUGCUGGACCAGCGCAUAAUCGGCAACCGUGUCGGGCUAACCGUGCUCCGGUCCGCCAUGGUGCUCGACCUGGUCGCGCUCAUGGGGGCCUUCGCCGCGGGGAGCUGCCGCGACGUGCGCUCGUCCGUCUACGUCCCGGCGGUAUUCGCCGUGCUGAUGGCGUACGUCGCAAUCCACCUCCUCGUGGCUGCCUCCCCGCUGAAGAGUGGCCACGCAGGACAUUCGGACGCGGAGGAGGGCCGCCUUAAAGGACGGUGGAAGCUCCCGCUGCUGCUGGCCACCUUCGUGACGCCACUGACCUACGGCGCGGGUCUGGUGCCUCCAGGCGGGUCCUGGUUCGACUCCAGCAAUUUUCGGGGGCAGGUCGCCGGCGACCCGAUGCUGCAGCGCAUCUACCCCCUCCGCUACUUCUUCUUCUUGUUAUGCAACACGACGUGCUUCGUGUCGUCCCUCGUCAUCAUCACCCUGCUCUUGAGCAGGUCGCUGAGUGGCCAUGUCGCCCGGUCGUACGCGCUGCAGGUCUGCGUCAUGGCGGAACUUCUCUGCCUUAUGGGCGCCUACGCUGCUGGGAGCCCCAGGUUUUUAGCGCAGACGGUGCACAUCAUCUUCCUCGCCGGGGUGAUGCUCGUGAUCAUUGCCCUCGUGGGAAAAUUCUCUAUGGACACAGUCAAGAAAUGGCUGGCACGCCGUGGCAACUUGGAGCAGGAAUCACCGCACGAGGUGGUACAUCCUGGAGUGCCAAACGAAGGCGACGGGGGCGAUGUACACAUCCUGGUAGAGUCACAGUCGCUUCUUCUGCUGCUGGCCACGCUCAUCGCGACGGUGACGUACCAGGAAGGGUUGAACCCGCCGGGCGGCUAUUGGCGCGAUGAGGACAUGCGGGGUUUUCGUGCGGGGCAUCCGUCACUUCUCGAUGUGUUGCCAAACAGGUACAGUGCCUUCUUCCACUGCAACACGAUGGCGUUUGUGGCAUCGCUGGUGGUGAUCGUCAUCGUUCAGAGCAAGCGACUGCUCAUGUCGGGAGCCGCCAUCAGGCUCCAGGUGCUGCAGGUGGCCAUAGUACUGAGCCUAUUUGGCCUCAUGGGCGCAUACACUGCCGGGAGCUGCCGGGACAUCGCCACCACCAUCUAUAUCUCCGCCUUGGCUGUCGCCAACGUGGUGGCGUUCAUCAUACUGGGCAGCGGUAGCAAGCGAUCGCUCUGGGUGGAGGCCACUGUCUACAAGGGUCUAAAGAAGUUGCACCUCUUAGACGAUGAUCAUGAUGACCAAGCCCAAUCCAAGAGAGAGGAGAUGCACAGCCUCAAGAAGAAGCGCAAGUCUUUGCUUCAGCUGGCGAUCCUCGUCGCCACUGCCACGUACCAAACCGGGCUCAACUCCGCGGGUGGGUUCUGGGAGGUGGGCUAUGCCUUCUACUCCAAGAAGCACCUCACUGAUACGCUCCUUCUUGGCUACGACCCGAGAAGGUACCUAGUGUUCUUCUACUGCAAUGCGGCGGAGUUCAUGGCCUCGGUCGCCGUUAUCCUCCUCCUGGUGAAUCGGCGGCUGCACAAGCAAAGCAUACGGAGUAAUGUGCUCCAGGCCUGCAUCAUGAUUGGAUUUAUGGCCCUCAGAACUGCCUACACCGUAGGGAGCACCCACAAAGUGAGCACCUCCAUCUAUGUCUAUGGGCUUGUGGCCGCCGUCGUCACCUACCUUGCCCUGCAAUUUCUACCGCUCCUGUUUGCGAGGUGCGUCGGGCGGCCGACCGCGCCACGGCUUCCGGCGUGGCUCCGAAAGCUGUUUGAGCCGCUUUCGCUGAUGCCCGACGCCCACAACACCAACCUAGUACAACAACAAUAUACAGACAAGCACAUAAAGCACAAGUACAUGAUGCUUCUCGCUAUUCUCACCGCUAGCAUGACGUACCAGGCGGGCCUUGUCCCCCCUGGCGGCACCUGGGCCGAAUCAACGGGUUUCCACAUUGCCGGUGACCCGAUCAUGUUCGACGUCCAAUACUCCCGGUACGCGGCCUUCUUCUACUGCAAUGCGACGUCGUUCGCGGCGUCCGUCACACUCAUCGUCCUGCUACUGCAGCGCACGGUGAGCCGGCGUGGCGCGCCGCUCAGGGCGAUGCAGGCUGCCAUGGUGCUGGACCUCGCCGGCCUGCUGGGCGCUUACGCGGCGGGCACCUGCUGGGUGUGGGAGCAGGUGUUCGCGUAUGUGACCACGCUCGUUGCGGCCGUGGUUGUCUAUGUCACGUUGCACGUGCUGCUGUGGCGUGGAAAACCUGCGGAUCCUGCAGCCCCGCCGACCACCCCCGAUUCUUCCCUUCACCCAGUUGGCAGCAUUGUUAAUGAGUUGUAG
This 2589-nucleotide ribosomal RNA is filed under the name Triticum aestivum (bread wheat). RNAcentral's name for it is "partial small subunit ribosomal RNA". Lineage: Eukaryota; Viridiplantae; Streptophyta; Magnoliopsida; Poales; Poaceae. The record is from RNAcentral.